CAUAAUUAAAGCUUUUAUCUUAAGGCAAGGUGAGUGACCAAAGUGGAUCUACAUUUAACAUCAGUAUUACUUGGGCACAAUAAACAAACACUAAAAUGAUGGAUUCUAUAUGAAUUUUCAUAUUUUUCUAUUGUAAUAGCAAACACUUUAUUGAGGUUUUCAAUUGCCAGUUCAUAAGCAGGUGUCAGACUGACCCACAUAAGAAUAAUGUAUAGAACUUGCUAAAAUAAAAGAUUUCUGCUUCCUAUACCUAGCAUUUGUGAUUCAGCAGGACUGGUGUGAGUUCUAUGAAUCCCUAUUUUAAUAACUCUUCAGAAUUUUUAAACACCUUAGAUGAUAUUAAUAGAUUACUUCUGUCCACCUUUUACUCUGUACUUGUAAGGAAUGUGAUGGGGUUCAGGGCAGGCCUCCCCAAGAUGCACCACUCUGGUAUGUGGACUAUUUCGAGCUGAAUACAAUAAAGACUCAGAAGACUCAGGAAGAGCAUCCGACCGACCUUCCUGCCCCCAAACUGCCUGAAAGACUUUAACAGAGAAGGCCUGUUCCAGGAAGGAGCUCAUACCAUGUGAUAGCUAUGGCAUGAUGUAAAAUAGGUGUGAUAAAAGGACACCUACAAACCCAUUUUCUUGGCCCAGCAAAACCUGUUUAACUAACAUUUGCAUUCCAUCUCUGUGUAGAUUGUCUUACUCUACUUUGAAGCCCCAAAUCAAUAUCCCCAGUGUCCUCCUUGUCUGUAGGUAAAGAUAUUUAAACAGGCAGCCUUGGCCAGAUGGUUGAGUUGCUCAGUUUCUCCUGAGUUUCUCCUGUGUAUACAUGCUGUUAAACUGUUUGAUUUUCUCCUGCCUCUUUAAUUAUUUGACCAGCCAUAAGAACCUUCAGGAAGAGUCGGGGGGUUGGGGGGGUGGUGUGGAUUCUCCCACCUCCCCAACAACUGUUUUAAGCCAGAGCUCUCUGGAAGACCUCACACUGCUGUCCCGGACUCCAAGUGCCCCCGAGCCUCACGACUCUAUGCUUAGGGGGCUACCUCUUCGUUGCUGUGACUCGGUGGAAGUUGGGAGCAGUUUGUCUGCUCCUUGCAUCUCUUCAGGUGGCCAAGAGGAGAACUCCUACCCCAUCAGGACUGCUCCAGGAACUAAGAAAAGGCCAUGUGAACACACAGCAAAAUGGGGGCCAUCUGCAAGACAGAAAGAGAGUUCUCACCAGAAACUAAACUCUACCAGACCUUGAUCUUGGACUUUCCAGCCUCCAGAACUGUGAUAAAAUCAAUUUCUUUUGUUUAAGACACCCUGUCUAUGGUAUUUUGUUAUGGCAGCUUGAGCUGACUAAUACAACCCCCAUCAAACAUCAACACUUUCAAAGGCAAAACAUCAUUUAUUCAAAGAAGAUGUUAUUUGACAAAAUUUUAAAAGAACACACAACAAACAGCAUAAAUUGACGUAGUGUGGAUAAACAUCAUUUGGCGUCCCUUGGCUUCUGAAAUCUAGAUACAAUUGUCUUCAAACCCUUCUUCCCGCCUUUUUGCCACGGGAAGACCACAGUCCACACGGAUGUCUGCACAUCCCUUGAAGGAGGAGGAAGACAUUUCCUCUAACCACUCUGGAUCCUUCUGGCCAGAAAACGAAUAAAAUUCACAUGAGACAGAAUAACAGAAGAAAAUUAAACAAAGCUUUAUAACAUGUAUACAUGGGAGAGACUCAGGCAAACUCAGCUACUUGCCAAAAUGGUAGAAGCUCUCACCUUGAACACCACCCUCAGGAGUGGGCCUUUGUGAUCCUGUGUGCCCCUCAGAAUCCUCUCUCUGGGUUAAGGAAUUGAGCUAAUGUAAAAAAAUUGGAUCUUCUCCCUAGGAAUAUGAAACUGGGGCUCAGAAAAUAGAGAAUACUGUCAGACACCUCAAACGAGAAUGAAGAGUUGCAAUUGCAGGAAGAAAUAUGAC
This 1936-nucleotide long non-coding RNA is filed under the name Equus caballus (horse). Its description in RNAcentral is "lncRNA (ENSECAG00000040711.2)". Lineage: Eukaryota; Metazoa; Chordata; Mammalia; Perissodactyla; Equidae. The record is from RNAcentral.